RNAcentral lists this ribosomal RNA (487 nucleotides) under Triatoma pseudomaculata. RNAcentral's name for it is "eukaryotic LSU rRNA". It matches the Rfam family "Eukaryotic large subunit ribosomal RNA", at positions 446 to 721 of the family's 3401-position model. The record is from RNAcentral. Lineage: Eukaryota; Metazoa; Arthropoda; Insecta; Hemiptera; Reduviidae.
UGAGAUGGCCUCUCGCCCUAUUCAGUGUAACAGCUGUGGUAGUGGGUUUGGUCGCUCGCAUUUAAAUUGGAAGGGUAAUGGUGGACCGCACUUCUCCCUUAGUAGGACGUUGCGACCUGUCAAAUAAUAUCCUAAGUAUUUGGCUAAUUUGUCUGUUUUUAGGCAGUACUGAAAGGUAUUUCCUUUAACAGUUUUAGCCGUUUACAUACUGGAUAUAAUUGACAGUAACGAAUCAUGGUGUUGAGCCACUUACUUUGUAAGUGUCCUUUAUGGCUGUUUGCAAGUGGGUUGGUUAAUUAGUUUUAGUCGGAUUUUGGUCCGUCUAACUAUUCCGCCUACUGUUGGUAAACUGUUCCUUGGACAGUGCUUAUAACACCGGUCGGCAGCGAUUCAGGUUCAGGCUCUUAUCCGACCCGUCUUGAAACACGGACCAAGGAGUUUAGCGUGUACGCAAGUCAUUGGGUGUAUAAAACCCAAAGGCGCAAUG